This 902-nucleotide ribosomal RNA is filed under the name uncultured delta proteobacterium. Its description in RNAcentral is "bacterial SSU rRNA". It matches the Rfam family "Bacterial small subunit ribosomal RNA", at positions 38 to 916 of the family's 1533-position model. The record is from RNAcentral. Lineage: Bacteria; Deltaproteobacteria.
CAUGGCGGGUCUACCAUGCAGUCUAACGGGAAUGUCGGCUUCGGCUGACUAGUACCGUGGCGAACGGGUGAGUAACACGUGGGUAAUCUGCCCUCGAGCUCGGGAUAACCUUGCGAAAGCGAGGCUAAUACCGGAUAAGACCACGCCCUGCCUGCAGGGUGCGGUAAAAGGUGGCCUCUUCUUGAAAGCUAUCACUUGAGGAUGAGCCCGCGGCCUAUUAGCUAGUUGGUGAGGUAAUGGCUCACCAAGGCGACGAUGGGUAGCCGGCCUGAGAGGGUGUACGGCCACACUGGCACUGAGACACGGGCCAGACUCCUACGGGAGGCAGCAGUGGGGAAUUUUGCGCAAUGGGGGAAACCCUGACGCAGCAACGCCGCGUGAGUGAUGAAGGCCUUCGGGUUGUAAAGCUCUUUUAGUGGGGAAGAAGCCCUCCCUGGCUAAUAUCCAGGGGGUCUGACGGUACCCACAGAAAAAGUUCCGGCUAACUACGUGCCAGCAGCCGCGGUAAUACGUAGGGAGCAAGCGUUGUUCGGAAUUAUUGGGCGUAAAGAGCGCGUAGGCGGUUCGGUAAGUCUGACGUGAAAUCCCGGAGCUUAACUCCGGAACUGCGUUGGAUACUGCCGGGCUUGAGUGUGGGAGAGGAGAGUGGAAUUCCCAGUGUAGAGGUGAAAUUCGUAGAUAUUGGGAGGAACACCCGUGGCGAAGGCGGCUCUCUGGACCACAACUGACGCUGAGGCGCGAAAGCUAGGGGAGCAAACGGGAUUAGAUACCCCGGUAGUCCUAGCCGUAAACGAUGGGCACUAGGUGUUGGAGGUAUCGACCCCUCCAGUGCCGCAGCUAACGCAUUAAGUGCCCCGCCUGGGGAGUACGGUCGCAAGACUAAAACUCAAAGGAAUUGACGG